CAGCGCCAUGGUAAUGCGAACGAGACGGCACCCGGUCGGGGGAUGCGCGAUGAGAUGCGCUCCGGCCUCCAGGACCGAGGGCCGACACCUAUAGAGCUCCCGAUAGAUCGCAGCCACGCCGGUGUGAGCUCCACGUUACACCGAGCAAUAAAAAGGUCUCAGCUCCGCCGAUCCCAGGGGCAGCUCCUCAAGCUGUCGAUGCAAUGCAAGGCAGUGGCAUAAAGGUGAGGCCGAUGGGAUGCAGGUGGCACCGAGGGACCGAGCCCCAGGAACUCACACCCUCAGCAAUAACAGCCUUGGGAUGGAGCUGCACACCCACGUCUCAUCCAAAUGUGUGAAGAGCCGUUUCAAGCUGCUCCUCCUCCAUCCCCCCCCCCCGACCUCUGCUCUAUUCCCACCAGCUCAACACCGAGACAGAAGAGAAGGAAGGGAGAGGGCUCAUCCCAAGCCAAACUCCAUCCUGAAGCCCUGGGAGGAUCAGCUGGUGGCAGCAGGGGUGGCAAUAGAGGGAGCAGCACUGAUUUACACUGUGCCGACAGCCAGACCCAAGGGAUAUUGGGUCCAGAGUGCUGCUGCAGCAGGGAAACUACAACCCCUGCCCUGAUGUGCUGCUGCUCACAGCGGGGUGCAGAGCAAAGGGACAGCCCAAGUCCUGCAGUGAAUGACAGCAAAGGCAAAUCCCUCCCAGCAGGCUCAGGAGGGAAUGGAUAAAGCUUUGCUUGGGAGCAGGCAGCAGAAAGGAGUGAGGCCAG
Coturnix japonica (Japanese quail) is the source of this 752-nucleotide long non-coding RNA. RefSeq lists it as uncharacterized. NCBI's taxonomy places the organism in Eukaryota, Metazoa, Chordata, Aves, Galliformes, Phasianidae. The record is from RefSeq and is a predicted model, not a curated record.